RNAcentral lists this ribosomal RNA (663 nucleotides) under uncultured bacterium. RNAcentral describes it as "bacterial SSU rRNA". It matches the Rfam family "Bacterial small subunit ribosomal RNA", at positions 144 to 823 of the family's 1533-position model. The record is from RNAcentral.
UAACAGUUAGAAAUGACUGCUAAUACCGCAUAAGCGCACAGUACCGCAUGGUAGUGUGUGAAAAACUCCGGUGGUAUAAGAUGGACCCGCGUCUGAUUAGCCAGUUGGCGGGGUAACGGCCCACCAAAGCGACGAUCAGUAGCCGACCUGAGAGGGUGACCGGCCACAUUGGGACUGAGACACGGCCCAAACUCCUACGGGAGGCAGCAGUGGGGAAUAUUGGACAAUGGGGGGAACCCUGAUCCAGCGACGCCGCGUGAGUGAAGAAGUAUUUCGGUAUGUAAAGCUCUAUCAGCAGGGAAGAAAGAAAUGACGGUACCUGACUAAGAAGCCCCGGCUAACUACGUGCCAGCAGCCGCGGUAAUACGUAGGGGGCAAGCGUUAUCCGGAUUUACUGGGUGUAAAGGGAGCGUAGACGGCGAUGCAAGUCUGAAGUGAAAGGCGGGGGCCCAACCCCCGGACUGCUUUGGAAACUGUAUGGCUGGAGUGCAGGAGAGGUAAGUGGAAUUUCUAGUGUAGCGGUGAAAUGCGUAGAUAUUANGAGGAACACCAGUGGCGAANGCGGCUUACUGGACUGUAACUGACGUUGAGGCUCGAAAGCGUGGGAGCAAACAGGAUUAGAUACCCUGGNAGUCCACGNCGUAAACGAUGAUCACUAAGUGU